GUAUAAAAACUAAGGUUUGAAACUAUUUUUAGGAUUUUGGCAAUACCUUAAGAUUUACAAUGUAUUUACAAUUGAAAUUUUUUUUGAUAGUUUUUAAAAGUAUAUCAGUACUUUAUGUAAAAUUUGAAUGUAUUUGAACGGUCCGAUUGGAAGAUAUGAGUUGUUGAAGUUUGGAAAUAAUACCCCAUAAGGAUAUAUAAGGAUUUAGAG
This 210-nucleotide long non-coding RNA is filed under the name Physcomitrium patens. RNAcentral describes it as "long non-coding RNA (PPAT_LNC004037)". The record is from RNAcentral. Lineage: Eukaryota; Viridiplantae; Streptophyta; Bryopsida; Funariales; Funariaceae.